AACGCGAAAAANCUUNACUACCCCUGACAUUUCUGGAAUCCNGCANAGAUGNGGAAGUGNUNAAAGAGAGCCAGAACAACAGGUGCUGCAUGGCGGUCGUCAGNNUCGUGUCGUGAGAUGUUGGGUUAAGUCCCCGCAAACGAGCGCAACCCUUGUCAUUAGUUGCUACGAAAGGGCACUCUAAUGAGACUGCCGGUGACAAACCGGAGGAAGGUGGGGAUGACGUCAGGUCCUCAUGGCCCUUAUGGGUAGGGCUACACACGUCAUACAAUGGCCGGUACAGAGGGCUGCCAACCCGCGAGGGGGAGCUAAUCCCCAGAAAACCGGUCGUAGUCNNGAUCGCAGUCUGCAACUCGACUGCGUGAAGUCGGAAUCGCUAGUAAUCGCGGAUCAGCUUGCCGCGGUGAAUACGUUCCCGGGUCUUGUACACACCGCCCGUCACACCAUGGGAGCGGGUUCUGCCAGAAGUAGUUAGCCUAACCGCAAGGAGGGCGAUUACCACGGCAGGGUUCGUGACUGGGGUGAAGUCGUAACAAGGUAGCCGUAUCGGAAGGUGCGGCUGGAUCACCUCCUU
This 574-nucleotide ribosomal RNA is filed under the name uncultured Leptothrix sp. RNAcentral's name for it is "bacterial SSU rRNA". It matches the Rfam family "Bacterial small subunit ribosomal RNA", at positions 958 to 1532 of the family's 1533-position model. Lineage: Bacteria; Pseudomonadati; Pseudomonadota; Betaproteobacteria; Burkholderiales; Sphaerotilaceae. The record is from RNAcentral.